This 823-nucleotide unclassified non-coding RNA is filed under the name Hevea brasiliensis (rubber tree). Lineage: Eukaryota; Viridiplantae; Streptophyta; Magnoliopsida; Malpighiales; Euphorbiaceae. The record is from RNAcentral.
GGUCAGAGACAUCAGAUAUAAAGGUCAGUUAAAAAAUAUUGCUCAAAAUGCUGCUGUAAGUUGCAUUGGUUAGUGCUCCGCAAUCCAGCAUUAUCAAGUUUGUUUUCUUCCACAGUAAUGGUGUUCUGUUCCUUUUAAUUGAAUUUACUUGUAGAUGAUUUUAUUUUUGGGGUUCUGGUCUUAAGCAAAAAUAUUCAAGUUGAGUUGUUUAACUCUAUUGUAUUUUAUUCUGUUGUUUAAUGCCACUAUGGCAGAAUUAAGUUCCUUGUUGAGAUUUUCAAGAUAUGUUGAUGGAUUUAUUUUUAAGUGCUCUUUAUUAAAAAGGGAUUGAAAAGAAGCGGUAAUAUGCAUUAAUUUCAUGAAUCUGGUGAGAAUAUUGGAAGGGAAUUUGAUUUUAUUUUUUACUUCUGUCAGUUCUUAUUUUAUCUUUUUGGUUUCUCUAAUUCAAAUUUGUAUACUAAACUACAUAUUUGAGCUUUUAAUAAAGUGAGCAUAGAGGCUUAUUCUAUCUUGCUUAUUUUCUAUGCUAUCGAAAACCUUUUUGUCAUUGGAGAGGUUUCAAUGUUCUUAUGUUUAAAGUUUUAAACUGGAAAAUCACUUUAGUAUGUGUAGUGGUUACCUUCAUGCUAUUUUUCAACUUCUUAUUAUUCAUGUUUUUUUCCUCAUCUUGUAUCACCUAAUAGUUGGGGAAAAUUGUUAAAUUCUUAAAAUGUAUCAUACUUAGAAAUUGUUUUAUUAUUAUCCUUGUAUAAGAUACAUGGUAAUUUUCCAUGCAUGGGCCAAAAUCUGUGUAUUAGUUUAGUCCAUGUUGUAUUUUCCUAAU